Molecule: long non-coding RNA, 3394 nt
Filed under: Taeniopygia guttata (zebra finch)
Lineage: Eukaryota; Metazoa; Chordata; Aves; Passeriformes; Estrildidae
Description: lncRNA (ENSTGUG00000019012.1)
Source: RNAcentral
UAAUCCAGCAGGGGGUUGGGGUGGGAGAAGCACUUGGCAGAACCUUGAGCAGGAUAAACCUUGCCAAGGGAUGAGGGCCUGGUAGAGGCACAAGGUGUUUUGUAAGGGACCUUGCAAUCUUCAGGGAUGGGGAGUCAGCCACUCCUGGAGCACAGACCCCCAUCUCCCAUAAACCAGCCCAGCACAGGCAGGAGCAGAAAGCCUUCUCAGCCUCUGGAGAGCAAGUCACCAAAACAGCAGCCCUGCAGCUCCCAGGAGCAGAGGGAAUGGCAGACUUCAGCUGGGAAGCUGCUUUUUGACACAGAGCUGCUUUCAGAGCUGUCCCUGGCUGCAGAGGACAGGGGGUUCUCCCAGCUGCACACCUGAUGGAGCAGGGCAAGGGCAGUUUGGUCCCUCCUGGGCAGCAGGGUCACAGACAAUGGCCCUUUUUAACACAGAGCUUUGUUUCACACACCACAUAAAGUCCCUCCUCCCAAACUCCUCCAAGGAGGAACUUGGCUGAAGUUCUGCUGCAUCACCAGGGCUUUAGAUUAACACAGACAACAAAGUAAAUUACUAAUCCCGAGGACUAGGCAGGGUAUCAUGCAUUCCUUCACCAUGUUAAGUGCCCAGCUGAGGGGGAAGGGCAAGGAAGGAUUUCCAACUCUGCACAAAUAUUUUGAGCCUCUAAAUUGAAGCCCAGCCCCAAAAAUUCCUGUUGCUAUUUUUUGUUCUUUGACAGUAGCACCAGAUGAAAUUAUUUUGCAGCGGACAAACACGCUGUGGAUUGACAAAAGGCAGAAAAGUGUGAGGUUAUUUACCUCUUCCACCAGCAAGAUGAAGGCAUCCCAUCUUUCCAAAACUUUUUCCUCACAGUCCAUCAUCCUCUGCCUCCCAUAUAUAAAGUGCAGCUGCACCCUGAGCUGGGGUGGGACACACUCAGAAGGUCAGAAAGCCCAACCAGCACCAGGUGAAUGAAAUAUUUUCCUUGGCAGGUGUGGAUUUAAUCUGGUGUCCAUCACCCCAAGCAACCCCUUUACCCACCACCUCCACCACCAGAUUCCUCCAAAUAAGAGUUCAAGGCACUGAUUCUGAGCCAUCAAACUUCUUGUCCUUGAGAAUGCUCAGAAAAUACCAGAACCCCAGCCCUGCUGGUGCAGGGGGACGAGACAGUCUCUCCAGGCUGUCAGCUGGAGAUCAUUCCCCAUCCUGCUCUUCAAAGCCACCUCGUGGGCCCCAGAAAUGCUUUGAAGAACAUCCUGGGACAACAGGGAUGGCACAGGAGCAGGGAGGGAGGAACACUACACCCAGCUGCCUCACUGGACUUGUGUAUGGGGGUGGCAGGUUCACUGACAGCUAUUCCUUUUAUUUCUGGAUUUCUGUGUCUGUUUGAAAAGCUGUACCAGCUCUGCUAUAUAAUCAGGAACACAGAAAAUUGGGCUAGAAAUACCAAGAUAACCAGAACACCAAAUCCUAUCUUCAUACCUUUUCUUCACAUUUCAAGACCCAUCUCCAGGAACAUAUCUAUCUUUAGUUUGAAAUUAAAUUGCAAGUCUCAAUACCUGCACAGGCUUUAACUCUUUUUCUUCUUGCAGCUGAGGCUAAAUAUUUUCCCAGCCCUCUUCUCUCAGAGGAAAGGCUCCAUCAAAUCCAACCCUUCCCCAGCACUCCUCUGGGAUCACGGGAUCCCAGUCAACUGAGUUUGCUCUGAGAUGUGCACAGGGAUUGAAGGGUCACCAGCUUUGCUGUGCAUGCCAAGUGCCAUCCUCUUCCCCAGAGCCCAAGCACAGCACCUCGUGGGCAUCCCCACCUCCCAAAGUCUGCAACCACUGGCAGAUUCUAGGCUGCAAAGCACUGUCCAUUGUGAAAGGUACCAGUCAAGGGUGUAUUUGAGGCUGAGAUAGGCACAGCCUAUUUUACCUACUCAACUGAAAUAUUUUCACCUUCUCACCUUGACUGAGACGAAGCAGCAGAGUCUCCAUGAGCUGCUCAAGGAUAAAAAAUGACUUGGCUUGUCUCACAACCCCUCAACAAACAGGGACAAAUCCAAGGGGCUUGUCUCCUGGAGGCUCAAUCCUGUUUUAGGCAGGGGGGGUUCAGAUGGGGGUAACUCCAAGCCACUUCUCACACCCAUCAGAUUUCAGCUGCUGAGACAGGGGGUUUGGUGGGAGGGUUCACAUCAGUGGACUGAUGACAUUCAAUAUUGCAGGUGUAAUAUAAAUAAAAAGUCAGAGGAAAGGAGAGCACCCUUUCUUUUUAUGCUGCAUCAAUCCUUUGUAAAUACUCAGAGCUUUUAGUAUUAACUACCCCAGACAGUGAAAAAAAGCAGGAUGAAGAGAGGACAUCACAGGAGUCCUUGCACUAGUUUGCUUUUUUUUUUUUUUUUUCCUUUUUAGCCUAUUUUCCUGAGGAAAAAAGGCUUAUCUGGUCAUGCUGUCUGUCUUUUAAUCCCUUCUAAUAACUUUUGAAUCCAUUGGCCAAUUUCAAACACACUUGAGACAGACAUACUAAACUCAUGGUAUAGAAAUGGAGAGCUGAGUAUUAUAAAUCAGUGGGAGUUUGUGCAUCCUCUGUGCUGUAGCUCCAACCCCUUAUUCAUUCUGAGAGCUGGAAGUCAGCAUGUCCAUCAGUUUAGGGAUGCAAAGGAAUCUUCAAAAGCAAUUGCCCACAUUGCCAUUUAGCCCCUCCAUGGUCAGGAGGAAACCAUGGGUUUAGAAGGGUGAGUUAAAGGUAGACAAACUAAACCCAUAGGAAAUCAUGUUGAAUUAAUUUUGCCACUCUCAAAGCAAUGGCAGCUUUAUUUUUCCUGUCUUAGGAUAAUACCUCAGAAAAGUAGAAUCAGUGUUUCUGUGCAGGGAUUAAUAUCAUGGCUUCCUCUCUCAUCCUUUUCUGCCUUGAAAGAGUAAAGUCUAAAAUUUAACUCCUGAAGAAAGAGGAGGAAAACACUGAUUACAUGGAUAAAUCCCUUAAAGCAGGACAUGCAGAAAAAUGAGACUAUGAAAGACACUCAGCUCUGCUUUUGGUUCAGGGGCAAUAACUUCAUGCAAAGCUUCUGUCCAGGGCAGCAGAGCAGCAGUGAAACACUCCCUCAGGACCCUGAUGGUCGGGCUGAAAUCCUACUCCCCCGAGAGCAGCAUAUGGUGCACAAGAGCUGCAGAAGCAGCCUCAGAAUUUACACAGAAUUUUAGUUUUAUUUCCCUGCCUACAUGCACCACACUGAGGAUCUGCAGCUAGAAACAGGACCUUGGUGUCUCACCAGGCACACUAUGAUGAGAGCAAGUUUUAAGCCAGGAGCAGAAAUAUGCUCCCAAACUCUUGUGUCCUUGCCACAAUUGGAUGCAGGCAAGCACGAGACUAACAGAACUUUUUCCCACAUGGCAAGCUCAACGUGUUUCAAAGCUUACACACACACACA